This 429-nucleotide ribosomal RNA is filed under the name Bacteroidota bacterium. RNAcentral describes it as "Bacteroidetes bacterium partial 16S ribosomal RNA". It matches the Rfam family "Bacterial small subunit ribosomal RNA", at positions 355 to 776 of the family's 1533-position model. The record is from RNAcentral. Lineage: Bacteria; Pseudomonadati; Bacteroidota.
UAGGGAAUCUUCCGCAAUGGACGCAAGUCUGACGGAGCAACGCCGCGUGAGUGAAGAAGGAUUUCGGUUCGUAAAACUCUGUUGUUAGAGAAGAACAGCGCAUAGAGUAACUGUUAUGCGUGUGACGGUAUCUAACCAGAAAGCCACGGCUAACUACGUGCCAGCAGCCGCGGUAAUACGUAGGUGGCAAGCGUUGUCCGGAUUUAUUGGGCGUAAAGCGAGCGCAGGCGGUCAAUUAAGUCUGAUGUGAAAGCCCCCGGCUCAACCGGGGAGGGUCAUUGGAAACUGGUUGACUUGAGUGCAGAAGAGGAGAGUGGAAUUCCAUGUGUAGCGGUGAAAUGCGUAGAUAUUUGGAGGAACACCAGUGGCGAAGGCGACUCUCUGGUCUGUAACUGACGCUGAGGCUCGAAAGCGUGGGUAGCAAACAGG